RNAcentral lists this microRNA (22 nucleotides) under Arabidopsis lyrata. RNAcentral's name for it is "aly-miR399i-5p". Its record names the gene aly-miR399g-5p. The record is from miRBase by way of RNAcentral. Lineage: Eukaryota; Viridiplantae; Streptophyta; Magnoliopsida; Brassicales; Brassicaceae.
GGGCAAAUACUCCAUUGGCAGA